CCCCGCGCAGCGCACGGGACACCCGCCGCCCCCAGCCACACCGCACGGCCACGCGCCCCAGCCCACGCUUCCGUCUCACUCCACUCCGCAGCUUUUUUCCAACCGCCGCCCACGCGAAUCCCGACGCCGCCGCCUCGGGGCCCACCGCUCACUCUACCCUCCUCCCCAGCUUCCUAUGGCGUGCUCGGCGGCGCCGGGCGCCGAGGCGACCGCUCUCCUGUGCCGCCGCCCCGCACCAUCCUCGAUCUCGGGGCGCAACCGCCUUGCGGUGUCCCGUCGGCCUCGACACCGCAAUCUCAGGACUGGCGCGCAACCUCCUCAGCAGAGCACACCUAGUGCUAACUACCGUAACAGGGUUAAUAUUCAGAGAGAUAGAGCAGGAGCUUCCAGUGAUGAUGAACACCAACAGAAGUCUGAAGAUGAAAAUGGCCUACCAAACAUUCAACUGGAAGAUUUGGUUGAAAUGAUACAAAACACUGAGAAGAAUAUAUUGCUUCUGAAUCAAGCUCGUCUUCAGGCAUUGGAACGUGCUGACAAAAUUAUUAAAGAGAAGGAAGCUUUGCAACAAGAGAUAAACAAUUUAGAGAUAAAAUUAUCAGAAACGGGUGCACAAUCUGAGCUUUCUAGCAAAGGAAUGUCUGAUGCAGAGGCUCUGGAGUUUGAUGUACUAAAGGAAGAGAAUAUGCUACUGAAGGAUGACAUAACUUUUUUUAAAGAAAAGCUUAUUGAGAUAACUGAGACAGAAGAGAGUUUAUUCAAGCUGGAGAAAGAGCGUGCUCUUUUAGAUGCUUCCCUUAGGGAGCUGGAGUGUGCAUUCAUAGCUGCCCAAUCUGAUAUGUUGAAACUUGGUCCUAUGCAACAUGAUGCCUGGUGGGAGAAAGUAGAAAAUUUGGAAGAAUUGCUUGAGUCCACAGCAAACCAAGUUGAGCAUGCUGCUCUGAUACUAGAUGGCUAUCACGACUUCCAGGAUAAGGUUGACAAACUAGAAGCAUCAUUAGGAGCAACAAACAUAUCAGAGUUCUGUCUUUAUUUGGUUGAUCUUUUGAAGAAAAGGGUAAAAUCAAUAGAAGAACGCUUCCAAGCUUGUAAUCGUGAAAUGCAUUCUCAAAUUGAACUUUAUGAACACUCAAUAGUGGAGUUUCAUGAUACUCUCAGUAAACUAAUUAAGGAAAGUGAGAAGAAGUCAAUGGAGCAUUAUGCAGAAGGCAUGCCAUCAGAGUUCUGGAGUAGGAUCUCUCUUCUGAUUGAUGGGUGGUCACUUGAGAAGAAAAUAGCCAACAAUGAUGCAAAUAUACUAAGAGAAAUGGCUUGGAAAAGGGAUAAUCGCCUUCGGGAAGCAUACUUGUCAUCUAGAGGAAAGUCAGAGAGGGAACUGAUAGAUAGUUUUCUAAAGAUGGCACUACCAGGAACUAGUUCUGGUUUGCACAUUGUCCAUAUAGCAGCAGAGAUGGCUCCUGUUGCAAAGGUUGGUGGUCUGGCAGAUGUGAUCGCUGGUCUUGGGAAGGCACUUCAGAAAAAGGGGAACCUAGUUGAGAUAAUUCUUCCCAAAUAUGACUGCAUGCAGCAUAACCAAAUUAAUAAUCUUAAGGUUCUAGACGUUGUGGUGCAGUCCUACUUUGAGGGGAAUAUGUUUGCCAACAAAAUAUGGACCGGGACUGUUGAAGGCCUUCCUGUCUACUUUAUUGAGCCGCAGCAUCCAGGCAAGUUCUUCUGGAGGGCACAAUACUAUGGGGAGCAUGAUGACUUCAAACGUUUUUCCUACUUUAGCCGUGUGGCACUGGAAUUGCUUUACCAAUCUGGGAAGAAAGUUGACAUAAUUCACUGUCAUGACUGGCAGACUGCAUUUGUUGCACCUCUUUAUUGGGAUGUAUAUGCAAAUCUGGGCUUCAACUCAGCUAGAAUUUGUUUUACCUGUCACAAUUUUGAAUAUCAAGGAACGGCUCCAGCCCAGGAUUUAGCAUACUGUGGCCUUGAUGUUGAGCACCUGGAUAGAGCAGACAGAAUGCGGGAUAAUUCACAUGGCAGAAUAAAUGUCGUUAAGGGUGCAAUUGUGUAUUCCAACAUUGUCACAACUGUAUCACCAACAUAUGCUCAAGAGGUGCGCUCAGAGGGUGGGCGUGGGCUCCAAGAUACACUUAAAAUACAUUCCAAGAAAUUUGUUGGAAUACUUAAUGGCAUCGACACAGAUACAUGGAAUCCUUCUACAGAUAGGUUUCUCAAGGUCCAAUACAGUGCUAAUGAUCUAUAUGGAAAAUCAGCAAACAAAGCAGCUCUCAGGAAGCAGCUCAAGAUGUCUUCUGCAAAUGCUUCCCAACCACUCGUCGGUUGCAUUACAAGGCUUGUUCCUCAAAAGGGUGUACAUCUCAUCAGGCAUGCAAUAUAUAAAACAGCUGAGUUAGGUGGACAGUUCAUUCUCCUAGGUUCCAGUCCAGUACCAAACAUUCAGAGGGAGUUUGAGGGAUUGCAGACCAAUUUCAGAACAAUAACAAUAUCAGGCUGCUUUUGAAGUAUGAUGAUGCUCUAUCGCAUAUGAUUUUUGCAGCAUCAGAUAUGUUCAUUGUUCCUUCUAUGUUUGAGCCAUGUGGCCUCACUCAGAUGAUAGCUAUGCGAUAUGGUUCUGUGCCAGUUGUUCGGAAAACUGGUGGUCUGAAUGACAGUGUCUUCGAUUUCGACGAUGAAACGAUACCCAUGGAACUGCGAAAUGGUUUCACAUUUUUGAAGGCUGAUGAGCAGGGCUUUGAUAGUGCAUUGGAAAGAGCUUUCAACUACUACCAUAGAAAACCUGAAGUCUGGAAACAGUUAGUGCAGAAAGACAUGAAGAUAGAUUUCAGCUGGGAUACUUCAGCCUCCCAAUACGAAGACAUCUACCAGAGAGCAGCUGCUCGAGCAAGGGCGGCAACAUAAACAGCAGAGAUUGUUCCUGAUGCCUCCAUGGACUCUCCCGGAUGCUGCUUUAACGUAUGGUAAAUGCAGUUCUAUCAGCUCCCUGAACUGAGCAUAUUCGCUGGAGAAGCGAAGAAACACAUUGUGCAUCGCUACCUACUUGGGUGUACAAAUGGCGGCGUGGCGUCACGCGCAGUUCCCGACGGAUCAAAAGAGAUAUAUACAGGAAAAUACAGAAAGGGUAUUUUUCGAAGCACACAUCAUCAUGAGAUCAGGAUGCUUGGAGACGCAGCUACUGUUGGGUGCAGAAGCACACAUGAGAUUAGGAUGCCAGUGCGAACAAAUAUCCAGUUAUACACGUGGUUGUGUAGCUCUAUGAAGCUGUUAAUUGAGAGAUUAUAGGGUUCAUGUAAUGUUUUUUGGCAUAAACUGGUGCAAAUUAUACUCUUAUCUUUGGAAAGUCGGUCGUCUCAACAACAUGUUUGCUUCAAUCGUUUAAGACAAGAGAAGUGACAAAGGAUAUAGAAUAUAGGGCCAGUUUGGAGAAGUUAAAGUUGGACGUUAAACUUUACCAUAUAUUAGUAUAUGCUAAAGUUUUUAA
Molecule: RNA transcript, 3484 nt
Organism: Panicum hallii
Lineage: Eukaryota; Viridiplantae; Streptophyta; Magnoliopsida; Poales; Poaceae
Gene name: probable starch synthase 4, chloroplastic/amyloplastic
Exons: 16
Source: RefSeq, a predicted model, not a curated record